Molecule: ribosomal RNA, 468 nt
Filed under: uncultured bacterium
Lineage: Bacteria
Description: partial 16S ribosomal RNA
Rfam family: Bacterial small subunit ribosomal RNA
Source: RNAcentral
GAUGAACGCUGGCGGCGUGCUUAACACAUGCAAGUCGAACGGAAAGGCCCAAGCUUGCUUGGGUACUCGAGUGGCGAACGGGUGAGUAACACGUGGGUGAUCUGCCCUGCACUUCGGGAUAAGCCUGGGAAACUGGGUCUAAUACCGGAUAGGACGAUGGUUUGGAUGCCCUUGUGGAUAGUUCUUUCGGUGUGGGAUGAGCUUGCGGCCUAUCAGCUUGUUGGUGGGGUAAUGGCCUACCAAGGCGUCGUCGGGUAGCCGGCCUGCGAGGGUGUACGGCGACAUUGGGACUGGGAUACGGCCCAGACUCCUACGGGAGGCAGCAGGGGGGAAUAUUGCACAAUGGGCGCAAGACUGAUGCCGCGACGCGGCGUGGGGGAUGACGGCCUUCGGGUUGUAAACUCCUUUCGCUAGGGACGAAGCGUUUUUGUGACGGUACCUGGAGAAGAAGCACCGGCUAACUACGUG